AUGACCAAAAAUAACUUGCUCAAGAGGGGAAUUGAAAAACCCCCGGAAUGUGUUUUCUGUCUAGAACAAGAAACGGUUGAUCACUUGUUCUUUGGUUGUGUGGUUGCCAGGAAAAUCUGGAGCGAUAUAUCAAAUUUCUUCUCUAUUGAUUUAGGUGCAAAUUAUCUACCCAUUGCCAGGUUUUGGUCGGCUAACAAAAAACACACAGCUAUGAAUGCUUUUGUGGCUUGUGUCUUGUGGAGCAUAUGGAAAACUAGAAACAACCAUGUGUUUAAUAACGCUGUCUGGUCUGACUUGAAGCAGAUAUGGUGGCAAGUCUGGAGGACGCUCAAAAGAUGGAUGAUCCUGUACAAAGGGGAGUCGCUGGAGAAGCUUCAGCAAAUCUCAUGCUGGAUAUCCAGCAUUCUCGCAGCCCCUUUUCAGUUGACAGUGGGGUGA
RNAcentral lists this ribosomal RNA (438 nucleotides) under Triticum aestivum (bread wheat). Its description in RNAcentral is "partial small subunit ribosomal RNA". Lineage: Eukaryota; Viridiplantae; Streptophyta; Magnoliopsida; Poales; Poaceae. The record is from RNAcentral.